GACGAACGCUGGCGGCGUGCUUAACACAUGCAAGUCGAACGAAGUGGCGAACGGGUGAGUAACGCGUAAUCAACCUGCCCUUCAGAGGGGGACAACAGUUGGAAACGACUGCUAAUACCGCAUACUGAAGGAGGGGAUUGCGUCUGAUUAGCUAGUGGGAGGGGUAACGGCCCACCAAGGCGAUGAUCAGUAGCCGGGUUGAGAGGAUGAACUGCCAAAUUGGGACUGAGACACGGCUCAACCGCCUAAGGGAGGACGCAGGGGGGAAUCGUACGCAAUGGGGGAAGUUCUGACGAAGCAACGCCGCGUGAGUGAUGACGCCCUUCGGGUUGUAAAGCUCUGUUAAUCGGGACGCGGUACCGGAAUAGAAAGCCACGGCUAACUACGUGCCAGAAGCCGCGGUAAUAC
This 408-nucleotide ribosomal RNA is filed under the name uncultured bacterium. RNAcentral describes it as "partial 16S ribosomal RNA". It matches the Rfam family "Bacterial small subunit ribosomal RNA", at positions 28 to 526 of the family's 1533-position model. The record is from RNAcentral.